Molecule: transfer RNA, 85 nt
Filed under: Felis catus (domestic cat)
Lineage: Eukaryota; Metazoa; Chordata; Mammalia; Carnivora; Felidae
Rfam family: tRNA
About the family: Transfer RNA (tRNA) molecules are approximately 80 nucleotides in length. Their secondary structure includes four short double-helical elements and three loops (D, anti-codon, and T loops).
Source: Rfam by way of RNAcentral
GCCUGGGUGGCUCAGUCAGUUAAGCGUCUGACUUUGGAUCAGGUCAUGAUCUCACAGUUUGUGAGUUCGAGUCCCACGUCGGGCU